This 497-nucleotide ribosomal RNA is filed under the name uncultured bacterium. Its description in RNAcentral is "partial 16S ribosomal RNA". It matches the Rfam family "Bacterial small subunit ribosomal RNA", at positions 28 to 507 of the family's 1533-position model. The record is from RNAcentral.
GAUGAACGCUGGCGGCGUGCCUAACACAUGCAAGUCGAGCGAACAGACGAGGAGCUUGCUCCUCUGACGUUAUCGGCGGUCGGGUGAGUAACAUGUGUAUGACCUACCUAUAAGACUGUGAUAAUUUUGGGAAACAGGCGCUAAUACCGGAUAAUAUAUUGAACCGCAUUGUUCACGAGUGAAAGACGGUUUUGGUUUCACUAAUAGAUGACCACGCGCCGCAUUAGUGAGUUGGUGAGGAGACGGCUUACCAAGGCUGCGAUGCGUAGCCGACCUGAGAGGGUGAUCGGCCACACUGGAUGUGAGGCACGGUCCAGACUCCUACGGGAGGCAGCAGUCGGGAAUCUUACGCAAUGGGCGAGUGCCUGACCGAGCAAAGCCGCGUGAGUGAUGAAGGUGUUCGGAUGGGUAAGCUCUGUUAGUAGGGAAGAAGAAAUGUGCAUGUAGCUAGGAAGGUAUUGACGGUACCAAAAGAAAAAGCCACGGCUAACUCCGUG